RNAcentral lists this ribosomal RNA (448 nucleotides) under uncultured bacterium. RNAcentral describes it as "bacterial SSU rRNA". It matches the Rfam family "Bacterial small subunit ribosomal RNA", at positions 329 to 794 of the family's 1533-position model. The record is from RNAcentral.
GUCCAGACUCCUACGGGAGGCAGCAGUGGGGAAUAUUGCACAAUGGGGGAAACCCUGAUGCAGCGACGCCGCGUGAGCGAUGAAGUAUUUCGGUAUGUAAAGCUCUAUCAGCAGGGAAGAAGAUGACGCUACCUGACUAAGAAGCCCCGGCUAACUACGUGCCAGCAGCCGCGGUAAUACGUAGGGGGCAAGCGUUAUCCGGAUUUACUGGGUGUAAAGGGAGCGUAGACGGCGAUGCAAGCCAGAUGUGAAAGCCCGGGGCUCAACCCCGGGACUGCAUUUGGAACUGUGUGGCUGGAGUGUCGGAGAGGCAGGCGGAAUUCCUAGUGUAGCGGUGAAAUGCGUAGAUAUUAGGAGGAACACCAGUGGCGAAGGCGGCCUGCUGGACGAUGACUGACGUUGAGGCUCGAAAGCGUGGGGAGCAAACAGGAUUAGAUACCCCCGUACU